Long non-coding RNA from Ruditapes philippinarum (Manila clam), 3069 nucleotides. RefSeq lists it as uncharacterized. The transcript is spliced from 2 exons. The record is from RefSeq and is a predicted model, not a curated record. NCBI's taxonomy places the organism in Eukaryota, Metazoa, Mollusca, Bivalvia, Venerida, Veneridae.
ACCACGUGGUUUGGAGACGCCCCCUUUUUGAAUUGUGUAUAUAUGUGUGUGUGUGUGUGAUAUGAGCACAGUAUAUUAAAAGAAAAUAGUUCAUUUGGGAUACUCCAGCUGUUAAGAUGUGACUCCCCCACCCCGUGUACCAUCAAAAUGGGGUGGGUGGGAUGAUAAGCAAAUGAAAUAACAUAUAUUAAAAACAAAGAAUGUGAUUUUAACUUAAUUACCAUAUUUACAAUAAGCAAUGAAAGAGAAUGGGAGAAAAAUAAUAUUUCCAAGAUUCGUGACUGUGAAGCUGUUUCAAAUCAGAUCUGAUGAGAUAAAGUUAUAAAAUCCGUGAUGCAGUCUGAACUGAUGAAUAACAGCGCGCGAACCGGCGUUCCAAAGGUAACAAAACCAGAAGGUCCUGCUUUGUAUACUACCAGAAGAAGAAUGGGUUUCUUAUCUCCAGGAACUUUUUUUGAUCAGGGACUUUGCAGUAAAUAGAAGACACGCAUUUCAUGCAAAUGGAUCAUCUAAGAUGUAACAUUUUACAAUAAAAGAAAAACUUACUUACUUUACUUUACUAACAUGAUAAAGAGGCGUCACAUAGAUUUUUUUCUGUAAAUAUUUUAUAUAGAUGGUGAUGGGUUUUGUAACUGAAACAAAGAUAUUAACCUUUAAGCACAAAUAUACGAGUAUUACUUAUAAAUUGUACGUAGUUAUAGCACUGGUGGUGGACAUGUACCCGUUAUUUUAAGCACGUAUACAACAAAAUGUAAUGUUCAUUAAAUAUGUUACAUCCGUACAUUGUACAGUACACAUGAUCUUACCGGUAACGGAGACACAAACUUUUAUAUGACAUGUCAUCAUAGAACAAAACCGUACUUUUAACAACAGGACUAACCUUAAACUGUAAAUUACAGUUUUGCGUAGUCUCUUGUUGAAAGACUGGCGUGAGGUGUAAUGUAUCUUACAUUUUUAUGUUACAUUUAAGUGUAAUGCAAAUUACAGAUUUAAUUACUUUUCCUAUUAUACGAGGACCGAAGUGUACGUAACUUACAAUUUUCUGUUACAUUUUAGUAUUUUGCCGAUGCGUUAUUAAAAGUACGGUUCUAGUUUAGUUUUACGUUUAGUUUUAAUCAUUGACUGAAGUGUAACGAAAAUUUCAGUUUUCCGUUACAUUUAAUGUAUCCAUUAUUAGAAAUUACGUCAGAAGCUGAACUUAUCGAUAAACGAAAGGGAUGUAACAUAUUUUAUCACAUAUUACAUUGCACUUGUAUAUUUUAUAACCAUUUGCACUUACAUCUAGAUCUAUAGUUGCAGAACAUAUUCAUAUAUAAAGGAGAAUGUAUGUUUUUUUUGUAUAUAAAACAUAUAUUUUACGAACGACACGCGCGGCCAAAGAACAAAUUGUGUACAUACAAAGUAUAAAUGGUAUGAACAUUUGACGAGUGUAGAAUACGAGUGGGGAAAUGUGCGAGUGUGGAAAAAUGUGAAGAUAAAAAUUUGAUGAAAAAUGUUUUGAAAUAUAUGGAUAAGCAUUGAAAAAAAUGUUUGUUUGAGUGAUUUUUUAACGUAUGCCUGGAAAAAGUGUUGGAACCAAUAUUGCAAAUAUUUAAUGAUAUAUUUAUUCAUCAAUAUAAGAUUUGUUUAAAUUGUUAUAUCCAUCAGAUAAAAAAUUAUUAAGAUUGAAAUUUAAAAACUCUUUUUAAUAAUGUUACAAAAGAAAGCGAACAAGUGUGAUUGGAAGAGUGUUGUAAAGAUGUAUGCUUGAUUAUAAAUUUGACAUGGAAGAUACAGAUGUGUUUGAUGAAAAAGUUGUAAGAAUGCGAUUGAAUGAGAAUAUUUGUGAAGUGUAAACUCUAGUCAUGUUGUUAUAUAUGUUAUUUUUUUAUAUGUAUUUGUAAAUAGAUAUUAUAAAUAUUUAAUAGUAAUAUAUAUAUUAAUAUUGUAUUUGGGAAUAUAUCAAAAGGACAUGCAAAGUGAGUUGAAAAUAAGCUGCAUAAUCUAAUACUUGGUCUGCCAUAUAUUAGAUAUUAAAUUUGGCAAGAUAGGAUUUUUGAAAUGCUUAGAUAACAAUGAUGAACUUGGCCCGCCAAGAGGUUUCAGAGAAUGCGCAGACGUGCAAAAUGGCAAGACUGUUGGCACAUGCAAAUACAAUCAACUUUUCACUUAUCCCCAAAUGACACUCAUAGACAUGUUCUUGAAAUAUAUUUCCAAUACAAAAAAUGCCAGGCGUUAGUGCAAUUCCCCAUUUUGAAAUUGUUGUUUUGUUUUUCUUCUCUUAUUUCUAAGUUAGGGAGAUCAAAUAUAUUUUUAAAAUUUCAUUGUAUAUAUCAUUUCAUGACGUCAUAUAGAUAGUUUUUGAUGUAUCUACAGAAAUAAGACCAUUUAACAUAAUUUAUAACACAUUAUUGUGAAAGUAUUAUGUAAACAUUUGAAUUAUUUCUGCAGAUGAUAUUAUCGUUUCCGGUUACGGGAACGAGGCUCUGCAUGCUAUAUUGUGAUAUUUAUAUUUAGACGGAAACCUUUGGGUUUUAUCCCCGCCUGUAUACCUUUGCAAAAUUAAAUAACGAAAUUUCCAUGCUUGAUUUUAACCAUUGUAAAAUUAAACCUAAUCUUAACCAUAUGUAAUUUUUGUGCAAGUUAAAUCCUUCCCAAUCUCAUCCCCACAACCGACUGCUCAAAGACAUUCUAAUUCUUAUUACAUGUAUAUUUGUUCCAUUGGCUUUUCAUGUAAUUCCCGGACCCAUAAUUAAUUCCCAUGUUCAUAUAUUUAGAGGCAGUACCGGAAAUACUCAGAUUUCGAUAAGGGAGGUGUCACUGUCUAUUAUUUUAUAGUAAAACAUACAUGUAUAUCAUUCACGUAAUUGACUUGUUAUUUUUUUUAAUUUUUGAGUUAAUUUUGUUUGUCUCAAAGUAAUAUCAAAAUAUAUUUCUUUCAAGAAAACGAAAACAAAACAUUUGGUCAUGUCCUGUACGUACUCUUUGACCAAAGAAAGACAAUGUACAGGUUUAUGUCUUUAAGCGUUUUUUGAAGGUAACCAUGAACAAUGGCGUCAAAUCAACCAAAUUGUGUGUGUGUUUUUUUUU